ACUCCUGCGGGAGGCAGCAGUGGGGAAUUUUGGACAAUGGGCGAAAGCCUGAUCCAGCCAUGCCGCGUGCAGGAUGAAGGCCUUCGGGUUGUAAACUGCUUUUGUACGGAACGAAACGGCCUUUUCUAAUAAAGAGGGCUAAUGACGGUACCGUAAGAAUAAGCACCGGCUAACUACGUGCCAGCAGCCGCGGUAAUACGUAGGGUGCAAGCGUUAAUCGGAAUCACUGGGCGUAAAGCGUGCGCAGGCGGUUAUGUAAGACAGUUGUGAAAUCCCCGGGCUCAACCUGGGAACUGCAUCUGUGACUGCAUAGCUAGAGUACGGUAGAGGGGGAUGGAAUUCCGCGUGUAGCAGUGAAAUGCGUAGAUAUGCGGAGGAACACCGAUGGCGAAGGCAAUCCCCUGGACCUGUACUGACGCUCAUGCACGAAAGCGUGGGGAGCAAACAGGAUUAGAAACCCCUGUAGUCCCAU
This 472-nucleotide ribosomal RNA is filed under the name uncultured organism. Its description in RNAcentral is "partial 16S ribosomal RNA". It matches the Rfam family "Bacterial small subunit ribosomal RNA", at positions 335 to 798 of the family's 1533-position model. The record is from RNAcentral.